GAUGCUUUUUGUCAUGCUGAAGUAUCAGCAGGAAAGGGUUGUCAGAUUCCACAUGACUGAAAUCAUCUGGCAUUUUGUCUUUGAGUGACUUACUUCAAGGGCUGAAUUUAUUUGAUUCUGCCAGUCAGGGUUCUGAGAAGGCCAGAGAAACCCUGCUGUCCCAGGAAGGAGAGACAGAUCAUAUCUGAUGACAGCCUCCAAGCAAGAGGUCCUGGAAUCACUAAUGAGCAUGAAGAAGCUCUGCUGGAUCAGGCCCACUGAGCAAAGAGAGAG
Long non-coding RNA from Pipistrellus kuhlii (Kuhl's pipistrelle), 273 nucleotides. RefSeq lists it as uncharacterized. Lineage: Eukaryota; Metazoa; Chordata; Mammalia; Chiroptera; Vespertilionidae. The record is from RefSeq and is a predicted model, not a curated record. The transcript has 3 exons.